AUUGAACGCUGGCGGCAUGCUUUACACAUGCAAGUCGAACGGUAACAGGCCUUCGGGUGCUGACGAGUGGCGAACGGGUGAGUAAUGCAUCGGAACGUACCCAGAGGUGGGGGAUAACGCAGCGAAAGCUGUGCUAAUACCGCAUGUGAUCUGAGGAUGAAAGCGGGGGACCGAGCAGCAAUGUUUGGCCUCGCGGCUUUGGAGCGGCCGAUGUCGGAUUAGCUAGUUGGUGGGGUAAAGGCCUACCAAGGCGACGAUCCGUAGCUGGUCUGAGAGGACGACCAGCCACACUGGGACUGAGACACGGCCCAGACUCCUACGGGAGGCAGCAGUGGGGAAUUUUGGACAAUGGGCGCAAGCCUGAUCCAGCAAUGCCGCGUGCGGGAAGAAGGCCUUCGGGUUGUAAAACGCUUUUGGCAGGAACGAAACGGUGUCCGCUAAUACCGGGCGCUAAUGACGGUACCUGCAGAAUAAGCACCGGCUAACUACGUG
This 492-nucleotide ribosomal RNA is filed under the name uncultured bacterium. RNAcentral's name for it is "partial 16S ribosomal RNA". It matches the Rfam family "Bacterial small subunit ribosomal RNA", at positions 29 to 507 of the family's 1533-position model. The record is from RNAcentral.